AAACCAACCGGGAUUGCCUUAGUAACGGCGAGUGAAGCGGCAAAAGCUCAAAUUUGAAAUCUGGCACCUUCGGUGUCCGAGUUGUAAUUUGAAGAAGCUACUUUGGGGCUAGUCCUUGUCUAUGUUCCUUGGAACAGGACGUCAUGGAGGGUGAGAAUCCCGUAUGGCGAGGAGUCUAGUCCUAUGUAAAGUGCUUUCGACGAGUCGAGUUGUUUGGGAAUGCAGCUCUAAGUGGGUGGUAAAUUCCAUCUAAAGCUAAAUAUUGGCGAGAGACCGAUAGCGAACAAGUACAGUGAUGGAAAGAUGAAAAGAACUUUGAAAAGAGAGUGAAAAAGUACGUGAAAUUGUUGAAAGGGAAGGGCAUUUGAUCAGACAUGGUGUUUUGCGACCCUCGCUCCUUGUGGGUGGGGAUCUCGCAGCUCACUGGGCCAACAUCAGUUUUGGCGGUAGGAUAAAUCUUUGGGAACGUGGCUUGUCUUCGGAGAAGCGUUAUAGCCCAGGGGAAUACUGCCAGCCGGGACUGAGGACUGCGACUUUUGUCAAGGAUGUUGGCAUAAUGGUUAAAUGCCGCCCGUCUUGAAACACGGACCAAGGAGUCUAACGUCUAUGCGAGUGUUUGGGUGUAAAACCCGUACGCGUAAUGAAAGUGA
Molecule: ribosomal RNA, 650 nt
Filed under: Lachancea thermotolerans
Lineage: Eukaryota; Fungi; Ascomycota; Saccharomycetes; Saccharomycetales; Saccharomycetaceae
Description: partial large subunit ribosomal RNA
Rfam family: Eukaryotic large subunit ribosomal RNA
Source: RNAcentral